Molecule: long non-coding RNA, 1686 nt
Organism: Solanum lycopersicum (tomato)
Lineage: Eukaryota; Viridiplantae; Streptophyta; Magnoliopsida; Solanales; Solanaceae
Source: RefSeq, a predicted model, not a curated record
GCCUUCCCUUUAAAACCUUAUAAACAUCAAAAACCUCCCGAGAAGACAGACUUCUUGAAAUCCUAAUGGAAUCUAAGAGAAAUGAAGCUUCCAAUCUACACUCAAAGCGAAAAAAAACCCGUAACUCUGCUCAAUUGCCUUCCUCUUCAGUUAAAGAUUCAAUCUUUAACAGAAUCCCUGUUCUGCCAGAAGAGGUCGUCACUCAAAUCCUGUUACGGCUUCCGGUGAAAUCCCUUUUGAAAUUCAGGUCAGUUUCAAAAUCUUGGCUUGGUUUAAUCUCAAACCCUGAAUUUAUCAACACCCAUCUCAGCAAAUCUGCAAAUAACAAGGAUUUCACUCAUCAUAGGUUUAUGCUGACUAUUUCUCUACCUAAGUAUAAUCUUAAGGACUGUUCUGCUAGUUCUUUGCUUUAUGACUCUGCUGCUGAGGCAUUGGAUUUGGAGUAUCCUACAAAAGAAAUCCGUAGAUCUGUUGAGGUUGUGGGUUCAGUCCAUGGGUUAAUAUGUCUUGUCAUUGCGAAAAAAUACUUUUUAAUCUGGAAUCCAUCCAUUAGGAAAUUCAAGAAAUUGCCUGAAUGUAGAGAUGAAUUUUGCUUUGGUCACCAUUUCUUGUAUGGUUUUGGAUAUGAUGAGGUUCAUGGGGAUUAUAAGGUAGUGGUAGGGUAAUAAUGAGGGUUACAGCUAUUCAUUUCUUGUUAAGGUUAAAAUGUAUAGUCUGAAUAGUGAUUCUUGGACAAGUUUAGAGGAUUUUGAUAGUGGGGUGCUAGGAACUGAGUCGGGUGUGUUUGUGAAUGGGAAACUUCAUUGGGCUAAUAGUGCUUAUCGUCGGUCUGGUUGGGAUAUCAUUUCUGUUGAUUUGGCUGAUAGUACACGGGGAGAAGUGGAGCAACCUUACUAUGCAGAAGGAGAUUUUGGUUUGACCCUGGGAGUUUUGGGAAGUGAUCUUUCAGUGUUUUGUAAUUAUCGAAGAAUUCAGGCUGAGGUGUGGGUUUUGAAGGAGUGUGGGGUUAAAGAAUCUUGGAUAAAGAUGUUUACCAUCGAUAUUCCUUGUGAUCCUAGGAUGAGUUAUAAGUUUUUCAAUUCUUUUGCAUGUCAAAUAAAGGUGAAGUUUUGUUUCAUUUUGGCUCAACUUUCAUGAUUUAUAAUCCAAAGGAUCACUCAAUCACCCAUUGAAGCCCUCAUCUAGAGGUUACUGGCUAUAAUUAUGAGGCAAGCAUCUAUAUAGAAAGCCUAGUUUGGCCUUUCUUUCAACGGAAGAAAUCAAGGAUGCAACAGAGGAGGAGGUUGAAAUAGCUCUGAUGAGGACAAUUAUCUGAUUAGUAAACAAGAUUCACAAGAGCUUUCACAAUAAUCUGGUAGGAAGAAUAGAAGAAUGUUACUAUAUCAAAUACUAAAUUGUUCUAAUAAUUCACAGAAACUUGAAAAGGUCAAAAAGACAUGAAAAAAUAGAAUACAUGAGGUGGAGAGAAGAACUUGAAGACUUCUUUUUAGACAUGCCUAAGUCCUCAUAUCUCUUUCUAUAUAUAUUCUCCAUCACGAAGAUUAUUGUUGUUUCUAAUUUCUUUUGCAUUUCUAUAAACUCAUUGUGGUGUUGUAAUAUUUUAGGUAUUAUUAUGAGCUUUUGAAAUAGAUGUAUGUAUGAAGUUCAGUGUUUAAAUUAUAUAUAUCUGUCAAUUUAUAUUUUAAA